UAGGAUAGUCAUGGGGACGAUGAUUCAUCCAGAUAAACCGGUGCAUAGUUCGCUUCCUUCAGGAUAGAUGAAUCUCUAGUUUAUAGUGUAGAGACAGUAAACGAAAAGUGUGGAUAAUUAUUAGAGAACAACUUAUACUGAGCAUGACCAUACAAGAGAUCAUAUAGAUUUUUAUUCGAUCGUCAAUGAUUAUCUCGAUGCUGUAAUUGUGUGAUUGAUCCUUUGACCUGUGAUGUCAUAGUUGCUCAUAGUAAGACUGCUGUAAUUUGAUUAUACAUAAACAUUAACUCGAUUAUGAGUUUUUAUAGUGAAUGUUAGCUUCAGUUGGUUAAGUUGUGUGAGCAAUGUGUGCAUUUAUAUGGGAUCUAUCGACCUUGAUAAAGGUAGUCCUAUGAGAUUUAAGAAACUGAGUCAACAAAUCUAUGACCAUAACAGUGUGAUUGAUGAAAAAAAAAAUUUAUUUGAAAUCACUAUUAGACUUGAGCUGAUCGAAUCUAUCAUAUAACUGAUGAUGAAGUUUGAUAAUUUAUUCAUGACAUGCCAUCUAGUCGGAACUCAUGAUAGAGAGACUUUAUCAUACUUUAACUACACCUAAAAAUUCUAUUUCGGUUCUGCUAGGUUGCCACUACAUAUUGCUAAAUGUCACUGAUGGAUUGUGAGAGCUCAAUAGGAUCGUUUUGAAUCAAUGAUCCUUGUCGAGUUAGAGUGAAAUUAUUAUGACCUACUGAAAAGAGUUUUAGUGAUAUCUAUAAUAAAAAUCAUGGUAUGUCUCAUUACCGAAUAGAAUUGAACCUAUGAGAUCACACAUAAAGGGAGAAGAUGUGGAUUGGUUAAUAAUUGGACUUAUGAAGUACCAAUUUAUAUGGAUUUAAAAAAAUUCUAUUGGAUUUAUGUUAACCUUGCUAGCAUCUAGGUGAACCCAAUUUCUCUUGUAGUUGGUUUGUUUAUAUGAUAAGCAUUAACUAAUUCCUACACUUAAUUUGAACCUAAUUGAAUAUGAUUCAAUGGCCUCCAAUGCUUGAAUACUUAGUUUAUGGCUUGGAUUAAAUCAAGAAAGAAUUUUUUAAUUUUAUUCAUUAAGAACCCUUGAAGUAAAUUUAUGAAAUCAUGUAAACUGAUUUGAGACUUUUUAUUGGAUCCCAUAUAAUGGGACGCCUAGCAUUAGGUGUGAGCAUGGGUGAGUUUUGAAUGGCGCCCCAUUUAUUUGGUCUAAAUAUAUUUAAGCUAGGACUUCUAAUAUGAUUAGGAGGAGGAAUUCUAAUUUGAUUAGGACACCCUUAUGUUGUCUAUAUAAAGAAUCCUAGCCUUACUUCUCUCAAAAUCUCACUUCCUCCCUUACCACCACCCUUACUGUGUCCAUCGCCUCCCCUCCUCUCUCUCUAGCCCACGCCCUCUCUCUCUAGACAUCCCCUUGUUGGAGCUAGAAGAGAGGUGGGCGGCGUCUCUCUUUGGUGUCAAUUAGUUGGCGCCAAGUUGUUGUUAGGUGGUUUCUUCUUCCUCUCAAGUUGUUGGGAGUUAGUUACAACCACUUCUUAAUUGUUCUUCUUGAUUAGUUGAGGGGUCAAAAAAGAUUCUUGACUUCUUCAAGAAUCAAGAAAGAAAGAUUAAAAAGGGUUCAAGGGUUGAUCCCUAUCCAAACUUGGUUCAAGCCUAUUCAGGCUUUGAGUUCAAAUGAGUUGUAUCAAAAGGAGCUUAUCUAGAUCAGUCCUGUGGAUAUGCAUAGAGGCAGGACGCUGGUGCUGCUGAUUCAGAACCUACUCAACACUAGAUUCAGGGAUUGAAUUGGAUGCAACUCCAGUUACAGAUUUGAAGCAAAAGAAAAGCAAUUUAGGUAUGUGAAUUGAUUACAGGCUUUCAUUUAUUUAUCCUAAAAUCAGUUUAUAUUAAUUUCAGCAUAUGAAUUAGAUACAUAGAUGCUUUCAUAUGAUGAAUGCAUGCUUAGAUUAAAAAUAUUUUAAUCUAAUUUCUUCACUGCAUUUUGGAUUUAGAAAAGUUUUAAAAUCUACAUGCACUAGCACCUGUAGAAAAUCCAACAGUGGUAUCAAAGCCACAUGUUCAUAUAUAUAAAAGUUGCAUGAAAGUUUUGAAAAUUAUUUUCAAAAUUCUGAUUUUAGUUUAUACAUAAGAUGUAUAUGUUUAUGUUCAGAUCUAAAAAAUAUUUUAGAUCUGAAUUUUAUUCAUAUAUGCGAUAUAUGAAAGCAUGCAUAGGUUAGAAAUUAAAUUUCUGCGAUCUGAAUUUUUCGUUUAUGCGAUAUAUGAUGGUAUGUUUAGAUCUAAAAUUAAUUUUUGAAAAAUCUGAAAUUUUUCAUGUAUAUGAUAUAUGAUUGCAGGCAUGUUUUGAAGUAUUUCAAAAAUCAAAAACUUACUUUUUAUGCAAUGAAUUUAGAUCUGAAAUUUAUUUUCAAUGAUCUGAAAUUAGUGUGUGCAUGAAUUGUUGGACAUGGGUAGUUUUGCAUUAGGUCAAUGAAUUGCAUCUUAAGUUAAAAUUGGAUCAUAUUGGGUUGAAAUCGAUGUAGCUAUUGAUCAAACUGAGUCAAGUGUUGAUUUGGGUUAGAUCAAUUGAGCUUAUGAUCCUACAAGUGUUGUAAAUUGAAUUGAUUAAAUCCCAUAUGUAGAAUCAAGUCAAUCUAAAGACCUAAUCCGGCUUUAUGGAUUGAAUCCGAUUCAUCUAAGCUGACUAAUUGAAACCAAUAAGCCAGUGUCUAAGACAAGUCUCGAUCGGUGGUUUUUAAUUGGGAGGCUACUCAUCUAGAUAAUUUUGUCUAUGGUGAGUUAAUGGCAUACCCUCCCAUCGGUCUCACUUACCUAACCGAUUAGAUGAUUGGAUUCAUUAGUUGCUAAAACAUUUUUGUUUAGCCCAUGCCAAUUAGAUCGGUCAUAUGAUGCUUGAUUAGAUGAGAUCUAACCUAAACCCCUCUAAUUAAUAUUAAGCCUCAUGGUCUUCCACCAUUAUAGAAGUGUGGGCGUGGUACUGGCAUUGACUGUUUUCGGCUGGUUGCAGUAGUUCAGUUGCAUCGGGAACACGCAACUACUCUACUAGCAAAGAGUUGCUCCAAGAUGAAGAUGGGGUUGGGCCCAAUAUGUGUUAUCUGAGAGACUCAAUGACGGCUUCACACCUGCUUGUAAACGGUGGAUCAAGCUUAACUAAGAAAUAGAACAAUAUGUGUUAUCUAAGCUCUCAUGACUUAGAGACCAAGUCGCUGCAAUAUGCUUAAAGAAGCAUUUGGAUAAAGAGUUGCCUACGCAUCGGUGUGCUUGUCACCAAUAACUGUUAAGCGAGGUGCAAGGCAUCAGUGGGACCGCAGCACCCACUAAAAACUUUGCAUUGGUCACAUCGAGUUUUUGCUUUCCACUCAGGGAGUGUCAGAAUNNNNNNNNNNNNNNNNNNNNNNNNNNNNNNNNNNNNNNNNNNNNNNNNNNNNNNNNNNNNNNNNNNNNNNNNNNNNNNNNNNNNNNNNNNNNNNNNNNNNNNNNNNNNNNNNNNNNNNAUAAAUUUUAAGUAUAAAUAUCUAACUAGAAUCUCUACUCUCAUAGAUAAAUAAUAUCGGCCUCUAAUCCACUAACCCGCAUCCUUAAAACCAACUGAUUGACCGGUACAAAUUAUAAGGCCUAGCUCAGAAACCUCAGAAUAGUCCUGACAUCCGAAAAGAUUGGAUAUGUACUCGACCAAAAUGCCCCAGCCUUACCAGCCCGUCCUACGACAGAGCAAAAAGCUGCUUUGGACAAGUAGACUGAUGAUGACCUUAAGGUGAAGUGCUAUGUUCUGGCUUCCAUGUCAAAUGAGUUGCAGAGCCAGCAUGAGCACAUACCCACUGUCCGUACCAUGAUCACUCACCUGCAAGAGUUGUACGGUGAGCAGAGCUGAACUGUGCGCUUCGAAUUGUCCAAGCGGUUGUUCAAUAUGAAGAUGCGCGACGGACAGUCAGUCUACGAUUAUUGUAUGACAAUGAUCAAGGACCUAGAGAAACUUGAGAAGCUCGAGCUUAAUAUGUAGAGGGAAUUAAAGAUCAAUUUGAUGCUCCAAUCCCUGAUCAGUUCAUUUGGGUAGUUUAUCAUAAACUACCAUAUGAACAAAUUGGACUGCAACUUACCUAAAUUGGUCAAUAUGCUGGUCACUGCUGAGGGUACCUUGAAAAGUUCAAAGGGCUCUAUUUUUGCAAUUGAGCGGGUACCUUCCAAGAGAAAGUCUCAAAGAAAAAAAAAGAAUAAGCCUGCAAAGAAGCAGAAGAAGAAGAGCAAGCCUAAAAAGGACACUCCAAAGAAAGCUGUGGAGAAAGAAAAGUAUUUCUACUGCAACUCCAAUGGCCACUGGAGGAGAAACUGUCCGUCUUAUCUGGAGAGCCUGAAGAUAAAAAAAGGUGAUCAACCUUCUGAAGGUAUGCUCAUAAUAGAAUCUAACCUAACGAUUUUUUCUACUUCUAGUUGGGUAUUGGACUCUGAUUCGAGUGUACAUAUAUAUACUUUAAUGCAGGGUCUACUAGGAAGUAAGAGAUUGAGAAAAGAUGACAUAAUCCUUCGGGUCGACAAUGGAGCAAAAAUUACUGCAGAAACUGUUGGAACCUAUCCUUUUCGAUUACCGUCAGACUUUAGAUUAGAUUUAAAAGACUAUUAUUUUAUUCUUGUAGCUAGCCGAAAUUUGAUUUCGGUAUCUGUACUAGCACAAGAUGGAUUUAUUUUUUAAUUUAAUAAAAAAUUUUGUUCCAUUUAUUUAUGAAAUAAAUUUGUUGCAUCUGAUCUUUUGAUUGACAAUCUUUAUCACUUGCAUGUUGAUGCUAAUGUGAGCUUAAAUGAGCAAGUAGUGAGUGCCGUAGGCCAAAAGAGAUCUAGAAAUGAGUUUAACCAUAAGUACUUAUGGCACCAUAGACUUGGUCAUAUUGGAGAGGACAGGAUAAACAGAUUGAAAAAGGAUGGGAUCCUUGACUUAGUUAAAUCUGAGUUGAUUCUGACCUGUGAAUCCUGUUUUCGAGAAAAAAUAGCUAGGUUACCUUUUGUGGGACAAAAAAAAGAGCCACUGAGUUACUACUCUUGGUACAUACUGAUAUGUGUGGCCCAUUUGAUGUGCAGAUCAGGGGUGGUUAUAGCUACUUCAUUACCUUUACUGAUGAUCUAUCACGGUAUGGGUACGUGUUUCUUAUGAAACACAAGUCUGAAGUCUUUGAAAGGUUCAGAAAAUUCAGAAAAGAGGUAGAAAAGCAAAUACGUAAAUCCAUCAAAGUCCUAUGAUCCAAUCGAGGAGGAGAAUACCUUAGUGCUGAAUUUCUGGAAUAUCUUAAGGAGAAUGGCAUAGUCUUUCAAUGGACUCCUCCCAGCAUGCCUCAAUUCAACGGGAUAUCCGAAAGGAGAAAUAGGAUUCUAUUGGAUAUGGUCCGAUCCAUGAUGAGCUUUACUCAUUUAUCCAUAUAUCUUUGAGGACCUGUUUUACUUACCGCGAUACAUAUUUUAAAUAGAAUUCCUUCUAAGUCUGUUUCUACCAUACCAUAUGAGAUAUGACAAGGUAAAAAGCCGAGUCUGAGUUACCUUAAGACUUAGGGAUGUCCAGCCUAUGUUAAAAAACAGAAAGCUCAUAAGUUAGAGAAUAAAUCAGUUAUAGCUCGAUUUAUAGGAUAUCCUAAGGAAUCUAUUGGGUACUUUACUUUCCACAUUGCCACAAUAUGAUUGUAAGUUGCAAUGUCACAUUUCUAGAAAAAUAAUUUAUCCAGGACAGUGAUAGUGGGAGGUUAAUUGAGCUUGACGAGAAUGUCUCUGAAGAGCGACGAGCUAUAGAUCCCCAAGAACCUGUCAAUGAUAAGCCAAUAGUUAAUGUUCCACUUUCACCUCGUGGAUCAAGUAGAAUCUCUCAUCCUCCUGAAAGAUACAUGGAUAUAUUGAAAGAAGAUGUAGAAAAAACAUUCCUUGUGGGAGAUGGGGAUCAUGAUGAUGAUCCUAGUACUUUUGACGAGAUGAUGUCUGACAUCGAUUCCGAAAAAUAGUUAGAUGUAAUGAAGUCAGAAAUUGACUCAAUGCACUCAAACCAGGUAUGGUCCUUAGUGGAUCCACCGGAAGAAAUUAUUCCUAUUGGGUGUAAAUGAAUCUAUAAAAAAAAAUAAGUGCUGAUGGUAAGAUAGAGACAUAUAAGACAAGGCUGGUGGCGAAGGGUUAUAGUCAGCACGAAGGCAUUGACUAUCAUGACACUUUUUCAUCUGUAGCCAUGCUGAAAUUUAUCCGUAUAUUGCUUGCUGUUGCAGCUUACUAUGAUUAUAAAAUCUGACAGAUGAAUGUGAAAACUAUUUUCUUGAAUAGAUAUCUUGAGAAAAAUACCUAUAAGGAGCAACCUCUGGGUUUCACGUCGGGUGAUAGUGAUCACCGAGUCUGCAAGCUGCAGAGGUCCAUCUAUGGACUAAAGUAGGCUUCUCGAAGCUGGAAUCUUCGUUUCAAUGAUGCGAUCAAAUCGUUUGAUUUCAUCAAAAAUAAAGAAAAAUAAAAGGGUCAGUGAGAGCGCAUUUAUCUUCCUCGUACUGUACAUCGAUGACAUCCUCUUUAUUAAAAAUGAUAUUCUCAUGCUGACUUCGGUCAAGACUUGAUUGUUUAAGAAAUUCUUCAUGAAAGACCUUGAGGAAGCAUCCUAUAUCCUUGGGAUAAAGGUCUAUAAAGAUAAAUCUAGAAAGAUGCUUGGCCUGUCACAAAAGCUGCACUAGAAAAAAUACUGAAGCGGUUCAACAUGAAAAACUCCAAAAGAGAUUUGCUAUCCCUUAGAUAUGGUAUUCGACUCUCCAAGAUGAUGUGUCCUAAUACUUCUGAAGAGAUCGAGCGCAUGAAUAGGAUAUCUUAUGCUUCGGUGAUUGAGAGCCUCAUGUACGUCAUGCUAUAUACUCAACCUGAUAUUGCCCUUGCUGUGAGUGUCACAAACAUGUAUCAGUCGAAUCCAGAUGAGGAGCACUAGAUAGCUGUGAAGAACAUCGUUAAGUACUAACGAAGGACUAAAAAUUUAUUCUUGAUCUUUAGAGGAGCACCUGAAUUACGGAUUGAGGGUUAUACAAAUUCGGACUUCAUAUCAAAUUCUGAUGAUAGAAAAACUACAUCGGGAUAUGUGUUCGUAUGCAAUGAUGGUGCAAUCAACUGAAAGUGCUCCAAGCAAAGCAUCAUCGCAGAUUCGAUCGCAGAGGCCGAGUAUAUCGCCGCUUCAAAUACUGCAAAAGAAGACUUUUGAUUCAAAAAGUUUGCCGUGGAACUUGGUGUAAUGACAUCGGAUGUCAUACCACUAUACUGCGAUAACAAUGGAGCCAUAGCACUUGCUAAAGAAGCUCGAUCUCAUCGAAAAUUAAAGCAUAUUGAACGAUGAUUUCAUAUCAUACGCGACUACCUUGAGAAGCCAUAUGUCGAGGUGCAAAGAGUAGACUCCGUGGAUAACAUGGCAGACCUACUGACAAAGCAAUUGAGCCAGCCCAAAAUGGAAGCCCACCUUGAGAAGAUGGGGCUUAGAUUAAUGACCAAUUGGCUUUAGUUUAAGUGAGAGAUUGUUAGAUAUAUGUCCUAAAAGUCAAUUGUUGGCUGACAUAUUUUUGUUCUAUGAUAUAUAUUUGUACUUAAACUAUUAAUUUAAUCAAUAAAAGAUAAGUUUUUAUUUUUCAUUCAAGUAUUAUAUGUUCUUGAAUCGUCUUUGAAAUUGAUGUUACGAUAUAUAUUCUCAAAUAUUGAGGAUUAGAGAUAUAUAUGAUCGAUUUCUAAAUUACUCCCAUAGAAUAGUCAUGAAAACGAUGAUUCAUCUAGAUAAAUCGGUGCACGGUUCACUUUCUUCGAGAUAGAUGAGUCUCUAGUCUACAGUGUAAAGACACUGAGCAAAAAAUGCGAAUAAUUGUUAAAGAACAACUUGUACUGAGCAUGACCAUACGAGAGAUCAUAUGGAUUUCUAUUCGAUCGUUAGUGAUUAUCUCGAUACUAUAGUUGUAUGACUGAUCCUUUGACUUGUGGUAUCACAGUUGCUCACAGUAAGACUACUGUAGUUUGACUACACAUAAAUAUUAAUUCGAUCAUGAAUUUUUGUAAUGGAUGUUGACUUCAGUUGGUUGAGCUGUGCGAGCAAUGUGUGCAUUUAUAUGAGAUCUAUCGAUCUUAAUAGAGAGUAGUCCUAUAAGAUUUGAGAAGGUAAAUCCAUAAGUCUAUGGCAAUAGCAGUGUGAUUGAUGGAAAAGAGUUUUCAUUUGGAAUCACUAUUGGACUUGAACUGAUCGGAUCUAUCGUAUGAUUGAUGAUGAGGUUUGACGAUUUAUUUAUGACCUACCAUCUAGUCGGAACUCACGAUAGAGGGACUGUAUCAUACUUUAACUACAUCUAGAGGUUCUAUUUCGGUUCUACUGGAUUGCCACUACAUAUUGCUAGAUGUCACUGGUAGAUUGUGAAAGCUCAAUAGGAUCGUUUUGGAUCAACAAUCCUUGUUGAGUUAGAGUGAAAUUGUUCUGACCCACUGAAAAGAGUUUCAGUGA
This 8458-nucleotide long non-coding RNA is filed under the name Elaeis guineensis (African oil palm). Its description in RNAcentral is "long non-coding RNA (EGUI_LNC004381)". The record is from RNAcentral. Lineage: Eukaryota; Viridiplantae; Streptophyta; Magnoliopsida; Arecales; Arecaceae.